GGGGUUGUAGCUCAGUGGCAGAGUACUUGCCUAGCAUGUAUGAGGCACUGGGUUCGAUCCUCAGCACCA
RNAcentral lists this transfer RNA (69 nucleotides) under Ictidomys tridecemlineatus (thirteen-lined ground squirrel). RNAcentral's name for it is "Spermophilus tridecemlineatus (thirteen-lined ground squirrel) tRNA". It matches the Rfam family "tRNA". Rfam says of the family: Transfer RNA (tRNA) molecules are approximately 80 nucleotides in length. Their secondary structure includes four short double-helical elements and three loops (D, anti-codon, and T loops). The record is from Rfam by way of RNAcentral. Lineage: Eukaryota; Metazoa; Chordata; Mammalia; Rodentia; Sciuridae.